This is a long non-coding RNA of Physeter macrocephalus (sperm whale), 1055 nucleotides long. RefSeq lists it as uncharacterized. NCBI's taxonomy places the organism in Eukaryota, Metazoa, Chordata, Mammalia, Artiodactyla, Physeteridae. The transcript is spliced from 3 exons. The record is from RefSeq and is a predicted model, not a curated record.
UCGCGCCUAUCCCGGCCUCACGCCUACACCUUCUUGCGGCUGCGUUGCGAAACUACCUCGCCACCUACUCGAGUGACUGGGGGGCCAAUGGCCCACACACAAGGGUCCCGUCUGUUGCCCGGUAACAGGGUGUGGCGAAGGUUCAAGGAAAUCGGGAAUGGGGGCGCGAGCUCUGGCGCUCAAACGCGUGUGACUUUGGGCCGGUCCCCUCACCUGUAAAAGGGAGAUGCUUCGUGGGAUCAGAAAGGUUCAGUAACAAAGCGGACGUCUGGUGGUGGUGAGGAGACCGGAACCCAGAUCCAGCGAGGAGCGGCGCUGGAAGAGAUUCCUGAAGCCAUUCCAGAUUGUGUAUUGAUUAUUUUCAUCGACAACACCAACACCUGGAAACGCCCUUGAAUGACCUCCAAAGCCUCCCAAAUGACAUGGGAGCAGAGAACCUCAAAGUGUGUGCCUGGCAACAGAUCACCCGGCUGCCCCGGGGCUGCUGAGACUGGAACCCGGUUUAGAAGAUGCCAAAGCCUGUGCUGCUUCCACUCCAUGUACACUGCCCCCCUUCUGGGGCAGAGAAAGACGACAGAGUAGGAAAAAUAAAAGUACCAGACGCUUAACGGAAGACACAACAGGUGAGCAAUCAUCUGAUUCAUAAAAAGAGGCAACGAAUUUUUUCUUAAUUGAAGUAUAGUUGAUUUACAAUGUUGUGUUAGUUUCUGGUGUACAGCAAAGUGACAACAAAUGUUUAAAUGAUACAAAAUAGCAUUUUCAAAACAAAGAGUAACUGUAUUUAACCAUACUCAGCUCAUAACAGAGCAAGAGGGUGAGUGGAAUAAUCAUUCACGCUGGGACUUCCGGGUGGCGCAGUGGUUAAGAAUCCACCUGCCAACGCAGGGGACAUGGGUUCAAGCGCGCUGGCCCGGGAAUAUCCACAUGCCGCAGAGCAACAGAGCCCGUGUGCCACAACUACUGAGCCUGUGCUCUAGAGCCCGCAAGCCACAACUACUGAGCCCGCGUGCCACAACUACUGAAGCCUGUGCGCCUAGAGCCCGUGCUCCGCAACA